This 218-nucleotide long non-coding RNA is filed under the name Mytilus galloprovincialis (Mediterranean mussel). Lineage: Eukaryota; Metazoa; Mollusca; Bivalvia; Mytilida; Mytilidae. The record is from RNAcentral.
GCAUAGUUUACUUAAAGUCCUGGAUACAAAAUUAAAUCAUAAUAUUUGCAUAUUUGUAAGUUAAAUUGUUAAGAAGUGCUUAUAUUUACUCUUCGCAGUCAUUGAAACUCAUAGAUCCUUCCGGAAUAUUAUUUAUGGGGUAUUUGUGUCCUUUCGAUAACCCAAAAGUAAGCCGCAACACCUAAAUCUGCUUUUUUUGUCACCACGGCAUAAUAAAU